CCUACGGGUGGCUGCAGUGGGGAAUAUUGGACAAUGGGCGAAAGCCUGAUCCAGCCAUGCCGCGUGUGUGAAGAAGGCCUUCGGGUUGUAAAGCACUUUCAGUGGGGAAGAAAGCCUUGGGGCUAAUACCCUCGAGGAAGGACAUCACCCACAGAAGAAGCACCGGCUAACUCCGUGCCAGCAGCCGCGGUAAUACGGAGGGUGCGAGCGUUAAUCGGAAUUACUGGGCGUAAAGCGCGCGUAGGCGGUCUGAUAAGCCGGUUGUGAAAGCCCCGGGCUCAACCUGGGAACGGCAUCCGGAACUGUCAGGCUAGAGUGCAGGAGAGGAAGGUAGAAUUCCCGGUGUAGCGGUGAAAUGCGUAGAGAUCGGGAGGAAUACCAGUGGCGAAGGCGGCCUUCUGGACUGACACUGACGCUGAGGUGCGAAAGCGUGGGUAGCAGACAGGAUUAGAUACCCUAGUAGUC
This 465-nucleotide ribosomal RNA is filed under the name Vreelandella stevensii. Its description in RNAcentral is "partial 16S ribosomal RNA". It matches the Rfam family "Bacterial small subunit ribosomal RNA", at positions 338 to 795 of the family's 1533-position model. Lineage: Bacteria; Pseudomonadati; Pseudomonadota; Gammaproteobacteria; Oceanospirillales; Halomonadaceae. The record is from RNAcentral.